This 534-nucleotide long non-coding RNA is filed under the name Mytilus galloprovincialis (Mediterranean mussel). The record is from RNAcentral. Lineage: Eukaryota; Metazoa; Mollusca; Bivalvia; Mytilida; Mytilidae.
UUUUUUUUGCUUUUUGAGUGUGUUUUUGUUGUUGUGCAUGAACUGAAGUUUUGUCAUGAAUGGUUACCGUUGUUUUUCUAUUGCUCAACAGAAAUGAUUGUAAAAUAGCAAAAACAGGCCGUCAUACUUACAAACUUUGAAAACAAGUUCGAGAACAAUUGGUACUUAGAUUGUGCUAACUUUCUUCUGAUAAUUUUACUGAUGAUUUUAGAAACACAAGUAGAAUACAAGAAUAUAGUAGCUGAAAUACAUUUUCUUAUAUAAGAGGCUUUCCAGCGUAAUGUAUAUAUCUAUUUCCACUUUAAAACGGAAAUCGAUUGUAUAAACUCAAUAAAGUUGUUUAAUACAUUAUUUGUUUGAAGGACUGCAAUAUCAGUAGCUAUUGACAGAUAUUAAAAAGGCAUAUAAAUUAACUGAAUCUCGUCUUGAACAUUUCAAUAGAGCAUUAAAGGCUUUAGCAAUGUUGCCAGGUAUAACGUCCCUUAUGAUUCAAGUGUUUACUCUGGAAUUACCAUUUUUAUUAAUCCAUCAAGG